UACUUGCACAAUGGGCGAAAGCCUGAUGCAGCGACGCCGCGUGAUGGAUGAAGGCCUUCGGGUUGUAAACUUCUUUUAUCAGGGAAGAAGGAAGUGACGGUACCUGAUGAAUAAGCCCCGGCUAACUACGUGCCAGCAGCCGCGGUAAUACGUAGGGGGCGAGCGUUGUCCGAAUUUACUGGGCGUAAAGCGCGCGUAGGCGGACUUUUAAGUCGGUGGUGAAAUCUUGGGGCUUAACCCUGAAACUGCCGCCGAAACUGGGAGUCUUGAGGUAUGGAGAGGGAAGUGGAAUUCCUGGUGUAGCGGUGAAAUGCGUAGAUAUCAGGAGGAACACCCGUGGCGAAGGCGGCUUCCUGGUCAUAUCCUGACGCUGAGGUGCGAAAGCCAGGGGAGCGAACGGGAUUAGAUACCCCGGUAGUCCUGGCCGUAAACGAUGGAUACUAGGUGUUAGUGGUAUCGACCCCACUAGUGCCGCAGCUAACGCAAUAAGCAUCCCGCCUGGGGAGUACGGCCGCAAGGUUG
This 522-nucleotide ribosomal RNA is filed under the name uncultured bacterium. RNAcentral describes it as "bacterial SSU rRNA". It matches the Rfam family "Bacterial small subunit ribosomal RNA", at positions 359 to 896 of the family's 1533-position model. The record is from RNAcentral.